Magnolia sinica is the source of this 313-nucleotide long non-coding RNA. RefSeq lists it as uncharacterized. The record is from RefSeq and is a predicted model, not a curated record. The transcript has 3 exons. Lineage: Eukaryota; Viridiplantae; Streptophyta; Magnoliopsida; Magnoliales; Magnoliaceae.
UGAGAAUACGUUAGCGUUUGGGUUUAGGAAAUUGGGUUCGGGUUAUAGGUUUAGGUUUAGGUUAGGUUAUAGGUUAAGGUUUAGGAAAUUGAGUUUAGUUUAUAGGUUUAGGUUAUGAGUUAAGGUUAUAGGUUAAGGUUUAGGUUAUAGGUUAAGUUUUAGGUUUAGGUUAAGGUUAUAGGUUUAGGUUGAGGUUAUAGGUUUUGGGAUUUGAGAAUAGGUUUAGGUUAUGGUUAUAAGUUUAGGUUUAGGAAAUCGGGUCGGGUUCGGGAUCGGGUUUAGGUUUGGGUUUUCAAGUUUAGGUUUAGGUUUA